Lemur catta (Ring-tailed lemur) is the source of this 453-nucleotide long non-coding RNA. RefSeq lists it as uncharacterized. The transcript is spliced from 3 exons. The record is from RefSeq and is a predicted model, not a curated record. Lineage: Eukaryota; Metazoa; Chordata; Mammalia; Primates; Lemuridae.
UGUUUAUAUUUCUGAAUUAUAACCUGCUUCCUUUUCCUAUCCCUUUCAGUAUUAUAGAACUGACCUAACUUCAAAGAAGAAUUGCAGAGGAAGCAAAAAAGAAGGUGGAGGGUCUGCUAGUGGAUUUGCAGUUAAAAGAACGAUUUUGAAAACCCAAAUGUUUCCAGUUGGAAGGCAAUAUUUUCAAAUCUUUGGAAGAUUAUGAAGUGAGACACACCCUUGGGAAUUAGAGAGCAGGAGUCAGAGGGGAGACGGCCAGAAGGCAACGGAAGUAGAGAUUGGAGUGAUGCCCUUUGGAAACGGAAGAAGAGGCCACCAACCAAGGAACAUAAGUGACCCCUAGAAGCUGUAAAGGGCAAGGAAACGGAUUUCUCCCUGCAGCCUUCAGAAGGAAUGCAGCCUUGACUUUGGCCCAGUGAAACUGAUUUUGGACUUUUGACCUCCAGAACUGUA